CUAUGAGGUGUCAGGUCGCAUUGAGGCCAUCGAGGGCUCGAGAGAGGACAUCGUGGUUCCUGUCUACCUGCGGGAGCGCACCCCUGCCCGUGACUACAACAACUCCUACUAUGGCCUGAUGCUUUUUGGGCACCCACUCCUGGUAUCAGUGCCCCGGGACCGCUUCACCUGGGAGGGCCUGUAUAAUGUCCUGAUGUACCGGCUCUCACGCUACGUGACCAAACCCAACUCAGAUGAUGAGGACGAUGGGGAUGAGAAAGAAGAUGACGAGGAGGAUAAAGACGACGUACCUGGGCCCUCAACUGGGGGCAGCCUCCGAGACCCUGAGCCAGAGCAGGCUGGGCCCAGCUCUGGAGUCACGAACAGGUGCCCGUUCCUCCUGGACAAUUGCCUUGGCACAUCUCAGUGGCCCCCAAGGCGACGACGCAAGCAGCUGUUCACCCUGCAGACGGUGAACUCCAAUGGGACCAGCGACCGCACAACCUCCCCUGAAGAAGUCCAUGGUAUCUCCUUUGGCUAUCAGCGAGGGCUGGGGAGGCUGGAGGGGAGAUUUCCUAGCAGCAGGAUCCAUGACCACCUCUCCCUCACCCCCAGCCCAGCCGUACAUUGCUAUCGACUGGGAGCCAGAGAUGAAGAAGCGUUACUAUGAUGAGGUAGAGGCUGAGGUAAAUGAGAUCCCAGGGAUGGGGGGUACUUUCAGCUCUUGCCCCUCAACUCUUCGUACAUCUUCCCCACAACUCCUCCAGCUGGUAACAGAGCCAAGAGAUCCAGGUCAAGCCUGGCCUUGGGGCCUGAACACCCACUGAGAGCUCCAGGGCCUGAGGUUCCUAGCUUCAAAGUUGGUGCUCUGACCCACUCAGUGUGUGUCUCCCCCGCUGGGCCCCCACUCCCCAUUUCUCCACCU
RNAcentral lists this small RNA (904 nucleotides) under Pongo abelii (Sumatran orangutan). RNAcentral describes it as "retained intron". Lineage: Eukaryota; Metazoa; Chordata; Mammalia; Primates; Hominidae. The record is from RNAcentral.